This 468-nucleotide ribosomal RNA is filed under the name uncultured bacterium. Its description in RNAcentral is "partial 16S ribosomal RNA". It matches the Rfam family "Bacterial small subunit ribosomal RNA", at positions 28 to 507 of the family's 1533-position model. The record is from RNAcentral.
GGCGAACGCUGGCGGCGUGCUUAACACAUGCAAGUCGAACGGAAAGGCCCUGCUUUUGUGGGGUGCUCGAGUGGCGAACGGGUGAGUAACACGUGAGUAACCUGCCCUUGACUUUGGGAUAACUUCAGGAAACUGGGGCUAAUACCGGAUAGGAGCUCCUGCUGCAUGGUGGGGGUUGGAAAGUUUCGGCAGUUGGGGAUGGACUCGCGGCUUAUCAGCUUGUUGGUGGGGUAGUGGCUUACCAAGGCUUUGACGGGUAGCCGGCCUGAGAGGGUGACCGGCCACAUUGGGACUGAGAUACGGCCCAGACUCCUACGGGAGGCAGCAGUGGGGAAUAUUGCACAAUGGGCGGAAGCCUGAUGCAGCAACGCCGCGUGCGGGAUGACGGCCUUCGGGUUGUAAACCGCUUUCGCCUGUGACGAAGCGUGAGUGACGGUAAUGGGUAAAGAAGCACCGGCUAACUACGUG